GGGGGCGUACCGGCUUCGACGGGGACUCGUCGGGGUCGUGGUUGCAUGCCGAGCUCGAUCAACUCGUAAACCUGAUCGAAAAACACAAACGCGAACACUGAUUUCGCUCUCGCGGCUUAAUUAACCACGAGCGCUCGCCCACCGCCCGCUCACGGCGAUGGGACCGAGCGUCAUGAUGUGAGCUGGUGCCACGCGUAACGCCUACGCGCGCGGCACGAGAUCAAGAGGCUGGUCCGCGUCCGGUUCCCGCUCUCCGGACAAGGCGUGGACGAGAUUAAACGGAGAGAAACGCAUGUAGGAGCCACACCACCACAGUUUUCGGACGCGGGUUCGACUCCCGCCGCCUCCACCA
RNAcentral lists this transfer-messenger RNA (352 nucleotides) under Thermoanaerobaculia. RNAcentral describes it as "QHVT01 sp003223645 Standard tmRNA". It matches the Rfam family "transfer-messenger RNA". Rfam says of the family: Bacterial tmRNA, also known as 10Sa RNA or SsrA, is named for its dual tRNA and mRNA-like properties. Its role is to liberate the mRNA from a stalled ribosome. RNAcentral also lists the same sequence under 3 other names. The record is from RNAcentral. Lineage: Bacteria; Pseudomonadati; Acidobacteriota.